RNAcentral lists this long non-coding RNA (1611 nucleotides) under Macaca fascicularis (crab-eating macaque). Its description in RNAcentral is "lncRNA (ENSMFAG00000053862.1)". The record is from RNAcentral. Lineage: Eukaryota; Metazoa; Chordata; Mammalia; Primates; Cercopithecidae.
UUUUUUUUUUUUUUUUUUUUUUUUUGAGAUAGACUCUUGCUCUGGCUCCCAGACUGGAGUGCAGUGGCGCAAUCUUGGCUCACUGCAGCCUUCGCUCCUGGGUUCAAGUGAUUCUCCUGCCUCAGCCUCUUGAGUAGCUAUAACAAUAGGCACAUACCACCACACCCAGCUAAUAUUUGUAUUUUUAGAAGACAUGGGGUUCCACCAUGUUGGCCAGGCUGGUCUGGAUAUCCUGACCUCAAGUGAUCUGCCAGCCCUAGCCUCCUAAAGUGCUGGGAUUACAGGCAGGAGCCACUGCACCCAUCCUGGUCUGUUUAUCUCUUAACCUAAGGUUCUUCACCACCAUGAUGCUACCACUCAGCACCAGUGGCAUAUGUAUAUUUAUUCCUUCAGCACAUAAAUCAGAACAUUGUUGAAUAGGGCCUCAGUUUGUGUUUGAGGCUGUGAAAAAUACUAAGAUGGUUAAGACAUGAUCCCAAUACUCAAGAAACUUCUAAUGUAAGAGGAUAGAUAUAUUUAACAAAUAAACAUUUUGAUUAUAAAGAAUGAAAGCAGCAAUUAUGAUGAAAAUUUAAUUUUCCUACAAUAAGAGAUACCUAAGAAUGUAUUAAAUAAAUGGGAAUAAAAUAGCAAGGAUGAAUACCUUCUAGGUCAAUCAGGUAGAAUCUGGAAGACCCGCAGUGCAGCUUAGAUCUAUCACUAAGUUUGCCUUGGCAAAAUCUUUGACUGUCUUUUCCAAGAUCCCCCAUCUGUGAAGAGGAGGAUAGAUUAUCAGAUCAAAUACAAAAAUAAAAUAUACCAAAAGUCAAUAGAAAAUCAUACAGAACUAUUUAAAUGUAAGAUGAUAUUUUCUCCAGUUUCAGACAGACAUUUCAUCUCUGUCUUCUGAUGUCAGGUGACCCACCCACCUCGGCCUCCCAAAGUGCUGGGAUUACACGCCUGAGCCACUCGCCCGGCCGUCUUGUCUUUUUCUUCUCUCCAGGCUGAUUUUCUUGAGGUGGGAAGGUUUGAUUAGUGAUGUUACCCAGAACCUUGGGCAGAGGAAAUUAUGAGAUAAAAAACAAAUAAAAGGAUGGUUCAAGAGGUUUCCCUUUCUUUCAUUUUAGUUGAAGGGGCAGAUGGAGAGUAGCUCCAUAAGUCAUCUGUCCCAAUGAGGGAUGUAAUCUAUUUCUCCGGUUCCAGGACACAGUAUUCCAAACAACCACUGUUCAGUCUUCCUAUGUCACACUACCAGCCUGCCAAUUAAUAAUCUCAGUAGAUAUAAUGGCCAAAUACAUGACAAAUUUCUAAACCAUAGAGUACUCUGCUCCUUCCCCUUACUCCCUCCAGUGAUUUGCCCUUCUUUUUCAUACUCAUCUACUCAAACUGCAAAGAAUCUUUGUUUCAUUUCCAUACCCUCAAUACGGACUUCCUCGGUGAAUGCUUGGCAGUUUAAUGAAAACCCGUGAAAUUGACUUCUGGCUUCAAAACUUCAUAGCUGUAUGAGUUUGAUCUAGUUACUUAAAAACUUACCAAGGGGUUGGGCGCAGUGGCUCAUAUCUGUAAUCCCAGAAUUUUGGGAGGCUGAUGUAGGAGGAUCACUUGAGCCCAGGAGUUCAAGACCAGCCUAGG